UUUUUUUUUUCAGCUUCUCUCACAUCAUACUUAUAAUGGUUAUCUUUAAAAGAAAUGAGUAAAUGCUUAAAUUUAACACCAGCUUCUAUGUCUCUCUUUCUCUUUCCAAAAUUCUAAGCCCACACACUUUAUCUUAUGGGCUUGCUUCAUUUUUUUCAGCACAGGGUGCUGUAUCUCAGCCUUUUCCCAGGGGACAAUGCUGAGCUAACAUGCUCUUAUGCUAGCCGAGUCCCAGGUCUCUCCUGCCCUCUCCUCGAAGGCACUCGCUCACUUUCUGGGGAAGCACCUGUGCUACCAGUACCUCCCACCCACGCUGCCACAUUUCCUUUGGCUACAGAAUUUGCUCAACAAGGGUGGUGGUGGUGGUGGUGGUGGUGGUGGUGCUGCUGCUGCUGCUGCUGGGGGUGAUGGUUAAAUCCUUGAACCAGCGUCUUGCAGAAACAUAGUAGCAAGGAAGGACUUCCAGAGACCUUCCUGUGUUUUGAGAGCUGCAGCUGCACCAAGAGGCUUAGUCCAGGUCCAUGGGAGGGUUGCUCUUAGCUAGAGUUCUGGCUAAGAUAGAGAGGUAGGAAAGGCCCCUGGUCAGUCUAGGUAGGAGGUGAGCGAGUGGGCAGCUAAGCAAGAGGAUCACUAUUAUGCCCUCGGGAGGACUGUACUAAAUUCUUUAGGAGAACAAAGAAAACCCAGGUGGCAUGCAGCUCAGCAAUGGCUGUAGGUGGCCUCUAGGGUACCCUAGAGACCUUAUAGCCCUAAGGUCUCGGUGUGAUCCUGUCUUGCACUUCUUCUGUACUCUGCCUGCUGUGAGCUCAGCUGCUAAAGAACUGGAUUGGAAAGAGGGAAGGCCCACACACCCACUCAGCAGCUGAGUGAGUGAGGAUGAGGACCUGGAGGCAGGGAGGCUGCUUGAAAUGGGUAGAAGUGAGAAGCUAGAGUGUUCUUUCAUGUCUUCAGUGGCACUGAAUAGACUAUACUUACUGCUCAAGAAAGUCUGACUCGGUAAAAAAAAAAAAGUAUUAAUUCCAAUUUGAGGAAGUAGUUACUCUGGAAUAGUCUGCCUUACCUAUUGCAUUUACCUGAGAGCAGAUGGGUGGACGGUUGCCCUUCCUGUUUUGUUUUAAUAAACCAAACACUGGUUUGCUCUGCAUUGUCCUGUGGAAAAUGGGUGUAGCUUCUUCCUUAGCGACCAGUUGUGCUGGGGAGGGCAGCAUCUUGCUAUACACUCAGCCGGAUCAUUGGUUCCUGCUAUUGUCAAGGCCUAAGGAUGAUUACAACC
RNAcentral lists this long non-coding RNA (1273 nucleotides) under Mus musculus (house mouse). Its description in RNAcentral is "long non-coding RNA chr18:4655308-4656581". The record is from RNAcentral. Lineage: Eukaryota; Metazoa; Chordata; Mammalia; Rodentia; Muridae.